RNAcentral lists this long non-coding RNA (657 nucleotides) under Elaeis guineensis (African oil palm). Its description in RNAcentral is "long non-coding RNA (EGUI_LNC068333)". Lineage: Eukaryota; Viridiplantae; Streptophyta; Magnoliopsida; Arecales; Arecaceae. The record is from RNAcentral.
UCCGGCAUUUGAAAGCAACUCUACUCAAAAUCUCAAAAGCUGCUGAGUUAAAAUCCCAUUCCAAGGAUUCUUAGAGUCGAGAAGUGUAGUACCCAACCCAGUUUUGCUAGACCAAAAAAAAAAAACAUGUGCUAGCGAAGAACCUAAUCUGACCACAAUUAGACCUCCCAAAGGAGUUCUUUCCUUCUUCAACCAAGACUCCCUUUUCGAAUGAAAGAGAGAGUCUUUUUCUUGAUUCCAAGCUCCCAUUUGGCCACUAAAAGAGGGCUUCACCUCUCCUUUGAAGCCGACCAACCAAGCUUCUUCCACAUACUACCUCUUAUCCUUCCUUCUCUAGAAAUCUGGAGUCAACAUGUUCGCCAAAAUCAACAUCAAAGCAAUGUUGGAUGAAGGUAAUGGUCCAAUAAAAGAUUUCUUUCAAUGAUUAUCAAUUUGACCUUAUCAAAGAGGAGCCUGAUCCAUGGUCGUCGGACAGUAUGCCAGCACCCACCUUGAUUAGAUCCGGAUAUCAUUAGAUUCGAUUAUCUAUGAUUUUUAUUGAACCAUUUAUACAAUAGUUUGAUCAUGAUUUGAUUAAAUUACCUUGAUAAUGUUGGAUGUAUGAUCUGAAAAUUUAAUUGUUAGCUGACACAUUGUAUUAAUUCUAGGACAUUUUUG